This is a long non-coding RNA of Danio aesculapii, 1024 nucleotides long. RefSeq lists it as uncharacterized. The transcript has 5 exons. The record is from RefSeq and is a predicted model, not a curated record. Lineage: Eukaryota; Metazoa; Chordata; Actinopteri; Cypriniformes; Danionidae.
UAUUUUUAGGCUAUAUAUUUUUUACAUCAUUAGACAAUAAGGUAAGUUUUGUUAUUUCUAGCGUUUAAAAACAGGCCUUAAAUUUAUUUGUCGUCCUAUUCAGUUUUCAAAAUUUCAAUACUGUUUAAGUCAAAUCCUUGUUCAUCGAAUCAAAGCAACUAACAUGAUGAUCAGCUCUAUUGCUAACCGUUUUGGGGGUUGACGUUAGACAUCAUGCAAUUGUACUACUUCCACUCUCACCUGAAUGACACUGUGACGUUGUGUACAUACAGAAUUGAAGGUCGGUUGUUGCUGACUACAGAAAGAUUCCUAUAUGGAGGCAUGUAAAAGCAAGGAAAGUGAAACUUCAGCUAGACCUUGAGUUCAGUUUACAAUACGAAGAUCCUGAUAUCAACAUCUGAUCUGAUCAACACCUGAUUUUCAUCUGAGCUGCAGAGUACCAACAUGUUACAAAUGAGAAUUUUCCCCACAAAUUCUUUGGACAACCGCACCACCACCUAUUUCAUUUGAUGACAAUUUUAAGGCAAACAGCAUCCAAAACUGACAAGACAGCAGAUACCCUGGCUAAUCUUUUGAAGGUUUAUAAUGAGCAAGAACUGCAUGAUGUCAGUUCAUGAUGGACUACUGUUAUCAGAGGUCUUUUGGUCUUGCUGCGUGAGCGUGACUGGGGAUUCUUUAGGACCACCCUGAUUAAUAAUCCUGAAGCGCUGACUGAAGAUGCUUUAUUGGCCCUGCAGUCACUGAGGGUCUCUGCUGUCCUGAAGAAUGAAUUGGACACCACCCACAGCACACUUCCAGACCUUUUUUGUCUUGUUUGGAUUAAUGUAUGCUCUUCACAUAAUAUAUAGUAAAGGACUUUGAACUUGUACAAAAAGUUUUGCUUGGCAUGGAUGAUAGAAAAUAGAAAGUCGAUUAGCAUAGAAUCCUUAAAGAAUGAGUUGAUGUAGAGCCUUUUUUUGUACUCAAUAAAGACUGUCACUGGGGUAGUAACUUCAAAACAUGUAUGUACCUUUAAUUGGUAAUG